AGAGUUUGAUCAUGGCUCAGGACGAACGCUGGCGGCGUGCCUAAUACAUGCAAGUAGAACGCUGAAGAGAGGAGCUUGCUCUUCUUGGAUGAGUUGCGAACGGGUGAGUAACGCGUAGGUAACCUGCCUUGUAGCGGGGGAUAACUAUUGGAAACGAUAGCUAAUACCGCAUAACAAUGGAUGACACAUGUCAUUUAUUUGAAAGGGGCAAUUGCUCCACUACAAGAUGGACCUGCGUUGUAUUAGCUAGUAGGUGAGGUAAUGGCUCACCUAGGCGACGAUACAUAGCCGACCUGAGAGGGUGAUCGGCCACACUGGGACUGAGACACGGCCCAGACUCCUACGGGAGGCAGCAGUAGGGAAUCUUCGGCAAUGGGGGCAACCCUGACCGAGCAACGCCGCGUGAGUGAAGAAGGUUUUCGGAUCGUAAAGCUCUGUUGUAAGUCAAGAACGGGUGUGAGAGUGGAAAGUUCACACUGUGACGGUAGCUUACCAGAAAGGGACGGCUAACUACGUGCCAGCAGCCGCGGUAAUACGUAGGUCCCGAGCGUUGUCCGGAUUUAUUGGGCGUAAAGCGAGCGCAGGCGGUUUGAUAAGUCUGAAGUUAAAGGCUGUGGCUCAACCAUAGUUCGCUUUGGAAACUGUCAAACUUGAGUGCAGAAGGGGAGAGUGGAAUUCCAUGUGUAGCGGUGAAGUGCGUAGAUAUAUGGAGGAACACCGGUGGCGAAAGCGGCUCUCUGGUCUGUAACUGACGCUGAGGCUCGAAAGCGUGGGGAGCGAACAGGAUUAGAUACCCUGGUAGUCCACGCCGUAAACGAUGAGUGCUAGGUGUUGGAUCCUUUCCGGGAUUCAGUGCCGCAGCUAACGCAUUAAGCACUCCGCCUGGGGAGUACGACCGCAAGGUUGAAACUCAAAGGAAUUGACGGGGGCCCGCACAAGCGGUGGAGCAUGUGGUUUAAUUCGAAGCAACGCGAAGAACCUUACCAGGUCUUGACAUCCCGAUGCUAUUUCUAGAGAUAGAAAGUUACUUCGGUACAUCGGUGACAGGUGGUGCAUGGUUGUCGUCAGCUCGUGUCGUGAGAUGUUGGGUUAAGUCCCGCAACGAGCGCAACCCCUAUUGUUAGUUGCCAUCAUUCAGUUGGGCACUCUAGCGAGACUGCCGGUAAUAAACCGGAGGAAGGUGGGGAUGACGUCAAAUCAUCAUGCCCCUUAUGACCUGGGCUACACACGUGCUACAAUGGUUGGUACAACGAGUUGCGAGUCGGUGACGGCGAGCUAAUCUCUUAAAGCCAAUCUCAGUUCGGAUUGUAGGCUGCAACUCGCCUACAUGAAGUCGGAAUCGCUAGUAAUCGCGGAUCAGCACGCCGCGGUGAAUACGUUCCCGGGCCUUGUACACACCGCCCGUCACACCACGAGAGUUUGUAACACCCGAAGUCGGUGAGGUAACCUUUUGGAGCCAGCCGCCUAAGGUGGGACAGAUGAUUGGGGUGAAGUCGUAACAAGGUA
Molecule: ribosomal RNA, 1506 nt
Filed under: metagenome
Description: bacterial SSU rRNA
Rfam family: Bacterial small subunit ribosomal RNA
Source: RNAcentral